CAUGCAGAAAGGUGCUUCCUCUCUUGGUUCUGCGACAACACACUGUCUCCUAACAAAAACUACCAGGUCACCUGGUACACAUCUUGGAGCCCUUGCCCAGAGUGUGCAGGGGAGGUGGCAAGUUCCUGGCCAGGCACAGCAACGUGAAGCUCACCAUCUUUGCCGCCCGCCUCUACUACUUCCAGUGUCCAUAUUACCAGCAGGGGCUCCACAGGCUGAGUCAGGAAGGGGCCUCCAUGGAGUUCGUGGGCUACAAAG
This 258-nucleotide long non-coding RNA is filed under the name Homo sapiens (human). RNAcentral's name for it is "non-protein coding lnc-APOBEC3G-2:2". The record is from RNAcentral. Lineage: Eukaryota; Metazoa; Chordata; Mammalia; Primates; Hominidae.